Molecule: long non-coding RNA, 659 nt
Organism: Mustela lutreola (European mink)
Lineage: Eukaryota; Metazoa; Chordata; Mammalia; Carnivora; Mustelidae
Exons: 3
Source: RefSeq, a predicted model, not a curated record
AGGCCAGCCGGGGCGGCGACUCCAUGGGGUCGGGAUUCUCACGCUUGGCCGCUCUUACUGACCUGGGCUCUGAAGCCCUGGUGGAACCCUUCAUCCUCUGCCUGGCUCGCUUUGCAGGGCAGCCUGAAACUGGAGGUGGAAGGCUGAGACCCCAGCCCAGGAGAAAUGCACCCCUGCUUUGCACCUUCGCAUGCCAGUGCCUUCCGGCGUCAUUGAAGCAGCACUGACUUGAUAUUCGGUCACGCCGGUCCUGGACACAGAUGAGAGACACGGGAAGGCGAGACAUUGCACCGUCUGUCUUCUUCCAGCUUCAACAAUGAGCCUUCAUGGAGUGCAGCAGGCCCGUGCCUUGAUUUGGGAAUUCUGGCCUCCAGAGCUGACACAGGAUCCAUUUCUGUUGUUUUCAACCACCCAGUUCAUGGGAAAUUUGUUACCAGCAGCUUCGGGAAACUGAUACAAAUCCCUUGAGUUGUCUUCCUAAGGCAUCUAAAGGAAGAUGUUGGGGCGCCUGGGUGGCUCAGUGGGUUAAGCCGCUGCCUUCGGCUCAGGUCAUGAUCUCAGGGUCCUGGGAUCGAGUCCCACAUCGGGCUCUCUGCUCAGCAGGGAGCCUGCUUCCCUCUCUCUCUCUCUGCCUGCCUCUCCAUCUACUUGUGAUUUCU